RNAcentral lists this ribosomal RNA (270 nucleotides) under Streptomyces sp. B. RNAcentral's name for it is "partial 16S ribosomal RNA". It matches the Rfam family "Bacterial small subunit ribosomal RNA", at positions 1112 to 1382 of the family's 1533-position model. The record is from RNAcentral. Lineage: Bacteria; Bacillati; Actinomycetota; Actinomycetes; Kitasatosporales; Streptomycetaceae.
GCAUGCCCUUCGGGGUGAUGGGGACUCACAGGAGACUGCCGGGGUCAACUCGGAGGAAGGUGGGGACGACGUCAAGUCAUCAUGCCCCUUAUGUCUUGGGCUGCACACGUGCUACAAUGGCAGGUACAAAGAGCUGCGAAGCCGCGAGGCGGAGCGAAUCUCAAAAAGCCUGUCUCAGUUCGGAUUGGGGUCUGCAACUCGACCCCAUGAAGUCGGAGUUGCUAGUAAUCGCAGAUCAGCAUUGCUGCGGUGAAUACGUUCCCGGGCCUU